CUCCUACGGGGCGCAGCAGUGGGGAAUAUUGGACAAUGGGGGAAACCCUGAUCCAGCGACGCCGCGUGAGUGAAGAAGUAUUUCGGUACGUAAAGCUCUAUCAGCAGGAAAGAAAAUGACGGUACCUGACUAAGAAGCCCCGGCUAACUACGUGCCAGCAGCCGCGGUAAUACGUAGGGGGCAAGCGUUAUCCGGAUUUACUGGGUGUAAAGGGAGCGUAGGUGGCAGGGCAAGUCAGAUGUGAAAACCCGGGGCUCAACUCCGGGAGUGCAUUUGAACCUGUCCAGCUAGAGUGCAGGAGAGGU
RNAcentral lists this ribosomal RNA (305 nucleotides) under uncultured bacterium. Its description in RNAcentral is "bacterial SSU rRNA". It matches the Rfam family "Bacterial small subunit ribosomal RNA", at positions 336 to 658 of the family's 1533-position model. The record is from RNAcentral.